UAACCAAUCAAGCCCGGCUUGGUGUUGGGCCCCGGGGUGACCCGGGCCUCGAAUCGAUGGGCUGUUGAACAGAGUGGCCGACCGCCUAGCGUAGUGAUUCAAUUCCCGCACAGCGUGACCGCUCUUGCCCUAGCCGAAUUGGUGAAUUUCACCAGCA
RNAcentral lists this unclassified non-coding RNA (157 nucleotides) under uncultured Capnodiales. Its description in RNAcentral is "sequence contains ITS2". The record is from RNAcentral. Lineage: Eukaryota; Fungi; Ascomycota; Dothideomycetes; Capnodiales.